Molecule: unclassified non-coding RNA, 490 nt
Filed under: Rhodotorula sp. JSKim-2015
Lineage: Eukaryota; Fungi; Basidiomycota; Microbotryomycetes; Sporidiobolales; Sporidiobolaceae
Description: partial contains 18S rRNA, ITS1, 5.8S rRNA, and ITS2
Rfam family: 5.8S ribosomal RNA (bases 154-307)
Source: RNAcentral
CGGAAGGAUCAUUACUGAUUUGCUUAAUUGCACCACAUGUGUUUUUUAUUGAACAAAUUUCUUUGGUGGCGGGAGCAAUCCUACCGCCAGAGGUUAUAACUAAACCAAACUUUUUAUUUACAGUCAAACUUGAUUUAUUAUUACAAUAGUCAAAACUUUCAACAACGGAUCUCUUGGUUCUCGCAUCGAUGAAGAACGCAGCGAAAUGCGAUACGUAAUAUGAAUUGCAGAUAUUCGUGAAUCAUCGAAUCUUUGAACGCACAUUGCGCCCUUUGGUAUUCCAAAGGGCAUGCCUGUUUGAGCGUCAUUUCUCCCUCAAACCCCCGGGUUUGGUGUUGAGCAAUACGCUAGGUUUGUUUGAAAGAAUUUAACGUGGAAACUUAUUUUAAGCGACUUAGGUUUAUCCAAAAACGCUUAUUUUGCUAGUGGCCACCACAAUUUAUUUCAUAACUUUGACCUCAAAUCAGGUAGGACUACCCGCUGAACUUAA